This 315-nucleotide ribosomal RNA is filed under the name Triticum aestivum (bread wheat). RNAcentral describes it as "partial small subunit ribosomal RNA". Lineage: Eukaryota; Viridiplantae; Streptophyta; Magnoliopsida; Poales; Poaceae. The record is from RNAcentral.
AUGCACCAGAAAGAUCGCAAGAAACCACAUAAAACACAGCAAACAUCAGGCAAGACAAACAAAAUUAUGGACCAAAUUAAGCGCUCACUUAUUCAUAGUUCACCAAAGCUGCUCCACACCAGCAGAAGUUUGAAGAUACAAACGAUAACACUGCAUCACAGUAUGGUACAGAAACAAAGACAGUUCAGGCAACGACAGACACAGACCAGACUCCAUUGGAGGAUACCGGAGACACCGAGACUUGUGAACCCAGAGACAGAAGCAGCUCCAUGGCCAGGAGCUUACUGGCCACCACGGAGACGGAGCACCAAGUGA